This 780-nucleotide ribosomal RNA is filed under the name Triticum aestivum (bread wheat). RNAcentral's name for it is "partial small subunit ribosomal RNA". Lineage: Eukaryota; Viridiplantae; Streptophyta; Magnoliopsida; Poales; Poaceae. The record is from RNAcentral.
AUGGCGAGGCUGCGGAAGAGGAAGAGGGGGAGGGGGAGGGGCGUGAGAUGGCUGAGCCACUACUCAUCGGGGCAAAGCAUUCUGAUCGUCGGGGACGGGGAUUUCUCGUUCUCGCUGGCUCUCGCCGCCGCGUUCGGGACCGGCCGGAACAUCGUCGCGACGUCGCUGGACUCCUAUGAGGCUCUGUCUCGCAAGUAUAGCAAAGCACAAUCAAAUGUAAUGGAGCUGAAGAAAAGGCGCACCACGGUUUUGCAUGGUGUUGAUGCGGAGACGAUGAAGGGUCAUACUAAUCUGAAGAUGAGACUAUUUGAUCGGAUUGUCUUUAAUUUUCCUCAUGCUGGAUUCCAUGGAAAAGAGUGUGAGAUGCAUGUUGUCAGGUUGCAUAGGGAGCUUGUGAAGGGGUUUUUUGGCAAUGCACGAGAGCUGCUUCAGCCGGAUGGUGAAAUCCACAUUAGCCACAAGACAGGAUAUCCUUACGACGGGUGGAGUAUCGAGCAACUUGCCUCUGAAUCUUCUCUGGCUAUGAUUGACAUAGUUAGUUUCCAGAAACAAGACUACCCCGGCUAUAGGCCAAAGAGAGGAAAUGGUUCAAAGUCCAACAAUACUUUCCCUCUUGGUGACUGCAACACAUACAAGUUCGUCGCGAAACAUAAUGUUGCUCAGGAAGAACAUGCAUGCUACUGCGAUAUGUGCCAAGAUAAAUAUGUCUCGCGGUACUUCGACUAUGCAAGCAGUCUUGGCACGUUCGGAGUUGGGAACGGGGGGCACCUUGCAUAUUGA